Molecule: small RNA, 431 nt
Filed under: Histoplasma capsulatum
Lineage: Eukaryota; Fungi; Ascomycota; Eurotiomycetes; Onygenales; Ajellomycetaceae
Also listed under: 1 other name
Description: hypothetical RNA
Source: RNAcentral
CUUCUAGCAUUUGGAGCUUGCAUGGGGUGGUAACGACCUUGCAUGGAAUGGAACAUGAUGGUCUGCGAGGGGCAUGUAUACUGCGCAUAUCCAUGGACAUGAAUGGAUGACCCCGUGGAUUGGAACCACGGCACGGGAACCAGCGCCGUGGGCAUGGUGCCGCGCUGACCCAGAGCAGCGGGACCGGACGGGGCCGGCCGGUGCAGUACAGCUUUUGCUGGGCUAGGCUCGACUGAUAUUUGGGGCAAUGAGGGGGAUUCUGUUCUGCUCUUUUCUGUUCUGUUCCUUUUUUUUUCUUUUUUUGUCGAGAGUCAGUGCCAAGAAAUUUCAAAAUACGUUCUUAUCUGGAAGUAACGUAUGCUGUGGUUGUUCGGUGGAUACAUGUAUAUGCAGUUACCAGCAACUUAAAACAAACAAAUAAAUAAAGAGGA